CAAAAACAUAGCCUGGGGAAAAGAUCUUAGGUUCUACCUGCCCAAUGUUUAGAUGAAUGGCCGCGGUACUUUGACCGUGCUAAGGUAGCGUAAUUAUUUGUCUUUUAAAUGGAGUCAUGUAUGAAUGGGGUUACGGGGUUAAGCUGUCUCAGUUUUAUUUUUUUGAAGUUACUAUAUAGAUGAAAAAGUCUAUAAAUUGAAAAAAGACGAGAAGACCCUUAGAGUUUUAUUGAUAUCAAUUUUGUUGGGGCAACACGGGAACAAUAAAUUUCCUUUAUUACAAACCGAUUUUAAUAAAAAUGAAUAAACUACCUUAGGGAUAACAGCAUAAUUUAAUUUUAAGUUUGUGACCUCGAUGUUGGACUAGGAAUCUAAAGGGCUAGCCGUUUUUUAGAGAAGUUCUGUUCGAACUAAAAUUCCUACGUGAUC
This 429-nucleotide ribosomal RNA is filed under the name Doriopsilla pelseneeri. RNAcentral describes it as "partial 16S ribosomal RNA". It matches the Rfam family "Bacterial large subunit ribosomal RNA", at positions 1808 to 2605 of the family's 2925-position model. The record is from RNAcentral. Lineage: Eukaryota; Metazoa; Mollusca; Gastropoda; Nudibranchia; Dendrodorididae.